RNAcentral lists this ribosomal RNA (253 nucleotides) under uncultured bacterium. RNAcentral's name for it is "partial 16S ribosomal RNA". It matches the Rfam family "Bacterial small subunit ribosomal RNA", at positions 524 to 776 of the family's 1533-position model. The record is from RNAcentral.
UACGUAGGUGGCACGCGUUGUCCGGAUUUACUGGGCGUAAAGAGCGCGCAGGCGGUCGUUCAAGUCGAGUGUGAAAUCCCCCGGCUCAACUGGGGAACUGCACAGGAGACUGCUUGGCUUGAGUUCGGGAGAGGGAAGCGGAAUUCCGGGUGUAGCGGUGAAAUGCGUAGAUAUCCGGAGGAACACCGGUGGCGAAGGCGGCUUCCUGGACCGACACUGACGCUGAGGCGCGAAAGCCAGGGGAGCAAACGGG